AGCUCCCUGUGUCCCUGUUGCAUCUAUGCCCGGAAUCCUCUUAGCGCGCACAGAUCAUUCUCCGGAGCGUCCUUCGCAGCUGGCUGUGCCCUGCCAGGAUUAUCAGGGGGCUCAUCCCCAAGAAGAGCGAGGCGCAGAAAUUUGCAGCCUGAAGCAGGAAGGGUGCGGCGGGCCAGCUGGUGAAGCUGUGGUAGCCGACUGCCAGCGUGUUGGUCCCCCAGCAGCCCACAAACAGAAUGACCAGGGCCAGGAUGACCUUGGCAGCUCUCCGCUCAGAGGCAAACCUGGCCACCCCAUUCUCGGCCCCCAUGGCUCUCAUGUGCCCCUUCAGUUUGUGCAAGGUGUACACAUUGGCGCCCAGCAUCAGGACUACGGGCACAGUUUCCUGGAUGACUAAGGAAGCCGUGACAUAGGCCAUCCCGCUCUGCUGGGAAGGGAAAGCCCAUGUACAGCCCAGCAAAGGCCUGGUGGUACUGCUCACUAGCAUCGGGGAGAGAGUGAUAUUCCCAGCCACGUGGCUGGAAUACACCAAGGCAGGAAGAGAAUACAACACAUUCGCCAUCCAGAGGGCAGAUACAGCGAUAGCUGCGUCCCUGGCCCUUCUGGCUUCCCUAGCCCCUAGGGGAUGCUGCUUCCUCAUGGUACGGCAAUGGAAGAUGCUCAGGCAGGAAGUGGCCCAGGUGCUCAUAGUUCUCAAGAGCACCCAGGUGAACAUGAAGACCCUACACCAAGUGGCAGACAAGGAGAGCUGUAGCCCCAGGUCAGCUGCGAAGAUCAGCGUGUUCCGCAGCGCUGUGAGAAGGAGGUUGAUGGUGGAGAGGUUGGCCAGGAGAAGGUCAGAGGCAGCCAUGGUGCCAUGCUUCACAGUCAUGGCAAGGACCGUUAGGAGAACCAGGCUAUUACCCAGCAGGCAGAGAAGGACCAGAGCACCAUACAGAGUCACCUGCACCACACAGCCCUGAGACCGCACAUCCGGUGUCAUUGCUCUGGCGUGCCCCGAAAGCCCUGUGAAAGCAACACAAGGCAGGCCUGUUAUAUCCAAGUGCCCGUGCCAGCCUGGGAAACCCACCUCCUCCCAGAGCCGGGGCACCUUGGCUGUGCAGGCAUCCAGAGAUGAUCCCGUCAUCCUGCCGCCAACCUGUUCUGCUUCUCUGGGAUCAAGACAGGGGCUUCACCUUCAACCCACGUUAACGGAGACUCCCAGCAAGGGACCAGUUGGGUUGGUUUUUUGAUGUGGAUGUUAUUUCUGGGAACUAGCCCAGGACACACACGGCCAAACUCGUUACACCUGGGCCACUGAAUAACCAGAGCAAGGCAGCAGCUUUUGGUCACUACUGUCCUAGAGCAGAUCCAGAACAGUGGUGCCACAACUACUCCUGUUCUCUUUGCUUGCUGUGAAAGGCUCUGGUACCCUACCACCAAUUCUCAAAUCCCAGGAAUGUAGAUUCCACUUGGAUAAAGGACCUAAGUGACAGCUCAUUAUUCACUGUCUCAGAUCCACUCACCUGUGUGUUGGGGUCCUAGAACCUGCACAGAAAAGCAAAGGCCCCUCUCCUUCAGUACUUACCAUCCUUCCAAUUCCUCUCUUCUCUGGUCCGCUCGCUUGUUUGUGUGAAUUGGUACUUUUGCUGACUCCACUAGUUUUCCACUCAUUUCAUCUGCUCAUCAGAUGCUUAGCAACUAAACAAGCAUUUAUACAACCCACUGAUUCACCAAAUGGCUACAGCUGGGACUUUAAAGGCCUGUGACUCCAGAUUGAUCCUCCUCCCUUGCUAGAAUGAGACAGAAUAGGCCUACAAAGAAUUGCAUUGUCUUUCUGUAACACUGGGAGGAGAGUAGUAAAAGCCAAUAGGUGGGAAGGCGUUUGCCAAUCUAAUAUAGUUUCACCUCUCGGCUGGUGAUCUUGGAGAAGUUAAAACCAUUGAUCCUCCCAGUGUCCCCUCUGAAGCAGGUAGUUGCCUGGAACAUGAGAGAGGCAGCAGGAUUCCAAAUCUGGCAGAGCUCCAAAUGAACCAUUCUUGUGGGUUCCACUACAUGGCUGAGAAAGCCAUCUGACUGCUGGUGUUGGUUUGCAGAUUUCGGAUGGAAACCUCACUAACCCUCACUUCCUUGCAAGUCAUUGGGAUGUUUCUGGAGUAAGUGGAUUAUUUGCUGUUUAGGCUACAAUUACCCUAAAGGACUCUCUAGUGGUAUUUUGGUACCUUCUGGACUCGGGUCAGAACUGGAAGUCCAAGAGGGGGUGACAGGAAAAGCAAG
Chrysemys picta bellii (western painted turtle) is the source of this 2256-nucleotide non-coding RNA. NCBI's taxonomy places the organism in Eukaryota, Metazoa, Chordata, Testudines, Emydidae. The record is from RefSeq and is a predicted model, not a curated record.